GAUGAAGAACGCAGCGAAAUGCGAUAAGUAAUGUGAUUUGCAGAAUUCAGUGAAUCAUCGAAUCUUUGAACGCACAUUGCGCCCGUCAGUAUUCUGGCGGGCAUGCCUGUUCGAGCGUCAUUACGCCCCUCAAGUCCCCUGUGGACUUGGUGUUGGGGAUCGGCGAGGCUGGUUUUCCAGCACAGCCGUCCCUUAAAUUAAUUGGCGGUCUCGCCGUGGCCCUCCUCUGCGCAGUAGUAAAACACUCGCAACAGGAGCCCGGCGCGGUCCACUGCCGUAAAACCCCCCAACUUUUUAUAGUUGACCUCGAAUCAGGUAGGACUACCCGCUGAACUUAAGCAUAUCAAUAAGCGGAGGA
Molecule: unclassified non-coding RNA, 358 nt
Filed under: soil metagenome
Description: partial contains 5.8S ribosomal RNA, internal transcribed spacer 2, and large subunit ribosomal RNA
Rfam family: 5.8S ribosomal RNA (bases 1-120)
Source: RNAcentral